CGUUCAGUCCGUUGUUUGUGUUGGUCUGAGCUGCACUCAAAACGUUGUGAGACCGAUGGCGGAUCUGGCCAGAGGCAGGUUCCUUGCUGAAGUGUCUUUGCCGAUCGCCCUCCUUGUGAUGGUUUACACAAUGGGAAUUGAAAAUGUGGAGGCACAAGAACGACUGCCAAAGCCGACCCUGACCGUGGAUCCCCCGUCAGGUGCUGUAACACUGGGCGACAAUGUGACACUCACCUGUGCAGCUCCACAACACACUCCU
This is a long non-coding RNA of Callorhinchus milii (elephant shark), 259 nucleotides long. RefSeq lists it as uncharacterized. The transcript is spliced from 3 exons. The record is from RefSeq and is a predicted model, not a curated record. NCBI's taxonomy places the organism in Eukaryota, Metazoa, Chordata, Chondrichthyes, Chimaeriformes, Callorhinchidae.